UGCCCAUAUAACACUGGAAAACAGGUGCUAAUACCGUAUAACACUAUUUUCCGCAUGGAAGAAAGUUGAAAGGCGCUUUUGCGUCACUGAUGGAUGGACCCGCGGUGCAUUAGCUAGUUGGUGAGGUAACGGCUCACCAAGGCCACGAUGCAUAGCCGACCUGAGAGGGUGAUCGGCCACACUGGGACUGAGACACGGCCCAGACUCCUACGGGAGGCAGCAGUAGGGAAUCUUCGGCAAUGGACGAAAGUCUGACCGAGCAACGCCGCGUGAGUGAAGAAGGUUUUCGGAUCGUAAAACUCUGUUGUUAGAGAAGAACAAGGAUGAGAGUAGAACGUUCAUCCCUUGACGGUAUCUAACCAGAAAGCCACGGCUAACUACGUGCCAGCAGCCGCGGUAAUACGUAGGUGGCAAGCGUUGUCCGGAUUUAUUGGGCGUAAAGCGAGCGCAGGCGGUUUCUUAAGUCUGAUGUGAAAGCCCCCGGCUCAACCGGGGAGGGUCAUUGGAAACUGGGAGACUUGAGUGCAGAAGAGGAGAGUGGAAUUCCAUGUGUAGCGGUGAAAUGCGUAGAUAUAUGGAGGAACACCAGUGGCGAAGGCGGCUCUCUGGUCUGUAACUGACGCUGAGGCUCGAAAGCGUGGGGAGCGAACAGGAUUAGAUACCCUGGUAGUCCACGCCGUAAACGAUGAGUGCUAAGUG
RNAcentral lists this ribosomal RNA (699 nucleotides) under uncultured bacterium. RNAcentral describes it as "bacterial SSU rRNA". It matches the Rfam family "Bacterial small subunit ribosomal RNA", at positions 136 to 822 of the family's 1533-position model. The record is from RNAcentral.